Molecule: small RNA, 616 nt
Filed under: Pongo abelii (Sumatran orangutan)
Lineage: Eukaryota; Metazoa; Chordata; Mammalia; Primates; Hominidae
Description: processed transcript
Source: RNAcentral
GCACUUUGCACCAUCUGACUAACUAAAUGGUUGUCCUCCAUACCAAAAAGACUACCACACAAUCUAAGGAAAUUGUCUCUGACUAGGUCAUGUUUGCAUUUGAAGAAUUCAGAGCUGUAAACUUACCUCCCUGAAGUCUUGUUGCUGGCAAACAACAGAGCCAGACCUGGGGCAGAGCUGGAGCUGUUGUCCAUGGUGUUCUCACUUCCCCACACUGACUCCAUAUGAACAGAGUAUCUGCCAAGCCCGGGCUUCCGUCAUGGUCUACGAUGACACCAGUAAGAAAUGGGUACCAAUCAAACCUGGCCAGCAGGGAUUCAGCCGGAUCAACAUCUACCACAACACUGCCAGCAAUACCUUCAGAGUCGUUGGAGUCAAGCUGCAGGAUCAGCAGGUUGUGAUCAAUUAUUCAAUCGUGAAAGGGCUGAAGUACAAUCAGGCCACGCCAACCUUCCACCAGUGGCGAGAUGCCCGCCAGGUCUACGGCUUAAACUUUGCAAGUAAAGAAGAGGCGACCACGUUCUCCAAUGCAAUGCUGUUUGCCCUGAACAUCAUGAAUUCCCAAGAAGGAGGUGCGUGCAUCCUCUAAUGACAAAGCAACCUUGUAUUGCCUUUC